RNAcentral lists this long non-coding RNA (886 nucleotides) under Medicago truncatula (barrel medic). RNAcentral's name for it is "long non-coding RNA (MTRU_LNC004261)". The record is from RNAcentral. Lineage: Eukaryota; Viridiplantae; Streptophyta; Magnoliopsida; Fabales; Fabaceae.
AAAAAUGUACUUGAAGGCAUUCCAUUGCUAGAGAAUAGGGCAGAACUAUCAUUGUAGGUUCUACCUUGCAGGAAAAAUGCAGGUUGUUGUGGAGUUGGUAACUCAAUUGAAUGACUGCUAAGAUAAGAAGCAAUUGUCAAGAUUGAAGGUCUAGCCUCUGGAUCAUUUUGAACACAUAAUAGACCAAUCUGAAUGCACUUAAUGACUUCAGUUUUAGAAAAAUCUCCUUUAAUAUUUGGGUCCAAUAUAUUUAAAGGUGUUUUAUCCAUCCACUGUCUCCACACCUGAAAAUAUAUAACAUUUGGUCUAAGCUAUGAGAUUAUUAGGCAAAACCAGCUUUAAAUCUAAAAUUGGAUCGAAAAGUAUGUAAAGUUUGAUCAAAAAUUAUUUCAACUAAGAAGUAAUGAAAAGAUACUAUUGCUAUAUAAUUACACUCACAGAAUUCAAGAGGCUAUUAGCAACAUGUUGUGGUUCAUAUGAACUUAUAUUCUUCUUUCCAGCUACNUCUACCUUGCAGGAAAAAUGCAGGUUGUUGUGGAGUUGGUAACUCAAUUGAAUGACUGCUAAGAUAAGAAGCAAUUGUCAAGAUUGAAGGUCUAGCCUCUGGAUCAUUUUGAACACAUAAUAGACCAAUCUGAAUGCACUUAAUGACUUCAGUUUUAGAAAAAUCUCCUUUAAUAUUUGGGUCCAAUAUAUUUAAAGGUGUUUUAUCCAUCCACUGUCUCCACACCUGAAAAUAUAUAACAUUUGGUCUAAGCUAUGAGAUUAUUAGGCAAAACCAGCUUUAAAUCUAAAAUUGGAUCGAAAAGUAUGUAAAGUUUGAUCAAAAAUUAUUUCAACUAAGAAGUAAUGAAAAGAUACUAUUGCUAUAUAAUUACACUCACAG